RNAcentral lists this long non-coding RNA (323 nucleotides) under Elaeis guineensis (African oil palm). RNAcentral's name for it is "long non-coding RNA (EGUI_LNC042543)". The record is from RNAcentral. Lineage: Eukaryota; Viridiplantae; Streptophyta; Magnoliopsida; Arecales; Arecaceae.
GGCCUAGGGUUUACUAAAUUGAAAUACAGUGAUGCACUAUCUUUUAUAAUAUAGAGAGAUCAAUCCCAUCUCGAACUGCAUACAGACUUCACAAGUACUGGACUGUAUCCAGUAAAUUUCAUCAUUGCAUUAGAAAUAUAGGUAGUCCGACAUCAAAGUAUAGUGAGUUACUUGCAAGUCACUAUGGUGAUCUCAAGUCUGAGAGAUACUUAUGUCCAUAUGCUUCACGAGCUGCUCUUGACAGUAGAGUGCUCAGUGGGUAAGUCACUUGUUCAAUGAUGAUGUAUCUCUAUAUCUCACUUGUAUGCCAUACUAGUAUCUCC